This 23-nucleotide non-coding RNA is filed under the name Arabidopsis thaliana (thale cress). Lineage: Eukaryota; Viridiplantae; Streptophyta; Magnoliopsida; Brassicales; Brassicaceae. The record is from RNAcentral.
GAUCCCUCAUGGUUUGCUCGAAA